GAAAUAUGCUGCUGAGUACAAGUUUGACGGCAGGCAUUUCUCAAGCCAUCUCUCCAGUGACCAACAAGGUUGAUGGGAGUGAAAUCGUUUUCUGUUUAAAAAACUGAUUUGGAACAUAGAUUUUGAUGCUCAUCUUCCUAGAAAGACUGGCCACAUCUCUCAAAGGGCAGGUCUGAGGCAUCAUGAUACAUAACACUUUUUCUCCUGCUCAGAUUUCUCUGGACUGCACAUAUUUCUAAUUUUAGAAGUAGCUGCAAGCAGUUAGGAGUCAUGCACUCACAUAUUCAAUGGUCUGUGCCAAAGCUGUCCAUGUCUGUUAGGGUAAUGUGUACUCGGUUAUUUUAAAUUCUUUCCUUUGAAAUGAAUGCUUUGCUGUUUCCACAUUUUCUGAUAAUCAGAAAUAUACUUUUCCAGACCUCUUCCUAAAGCAUGUUGAUUUUAAGGUCUGCACCAGACCUCUGUUCUGCUCUCGACUGUUGAAUAUGUCUGGCUUAUUUAAAAAAAACUGUGUUUGCCCAUAGAGGGGCAGGGAACUGGGGAGGAGAAGGUAGUUAAGGUAGGAUUCUGACUCCAAAUGAGCUGAUUAAAAGGUAUCUGAGAUAAUUGUUUUCAAAGGUGGAAAGAGAUGGCUGGAAAUCAAUGGGCAGUCAUGUUGGAAUGUAAAAGUAAUCAACAUGAACACAGGCCAUAUCAUCAAUGCUUUCUGAAUGCAAAGGGAAAGGGAACUACUAUGCCGUGGCUUCCUUCAAAUUGAUGUGUCUUUCCAAACUUAGAGGAGCAAGAGAAAUGCUUGCAGGGACUUUAACUUGAAAAAAAAAAACAGGCUUGUGGCAUUAACAUAGCACGUUGAGUUCUUUGGAGUCAAGGUGCUGGCUAAAUUUCUCCUGCUAAUAAAUGCUUUUAUCACAAAGUAUACCCAAUUCCACUAUCUGUGUGAUGCAUACCAAGUUUCUUUGGUUUGUAGCAAGACCAUUUUGCAUUACAGUUAUUCAAGAAAUCACUGAUCAAUUACUAAGAUGCAUCUUCAUAAGAAAUAAAUUCUUGACAUGCAUAGAAGUAUAUGGAUGGUUGAAAGUAACUUGGAAAUUGGAGUAACUGAAAUAAUUUAAUCUAAUCCAGUCAUUUCACAGGUGGGAUAGUGGAGGCCCAAGUUACUUAUGGGAUUGGGUCAAAGAAAGCCAGCAUUCUUUGACCAGUAUUAACAUCUGUGUGUCCUGAUAUCUACUCAAACUAUGACAUGAUAAUAUCUGUACACCAAUCACACAGAAAUGAACUAGAGGUGAUAUAGUUUAGAUGUCCCUUCCAAAUCUCAUGUUGAAAUUUAACACCCAGUGUUGGAGGUGGGGUCUGGUGGGAAGCGGAUCCCUCAUGGCUUGGUGUUCUCCUUGCAAUAGUGAGUACUUGCAAGAUCUGGUUAAGUCUGUGGCACCUCUCCCCACCUCACUCUCUCUUGCUCCCACUCUGCCAUGAGAGAUGUCUGCUCCCACUUCGCUUUCUGCCAUGAGUAAAAGCUCCUUGAGGCCUCCCCAGAAGCCAAACAGAUGCCAGUGCCUUGCUUCCUGUACAGACUGCAGAACUUAUUUCGAUAGAAAGGCGCUUGAACAUGCAGAACGUGCUCACAGUGCUGGAGCUCUUGCCCUGCUGUUUGUAUGGACUCCAUAAAAAGGGCACUGCUACUGCAAGUACAGAUGUAAGUAUCCAGCAUACGUGAAGAAAGAGGUGCAGGGCAGCCCUUGAACUCUACCCUGCUGGAGUCUCACCUGUCCUCCCUCUCUCCUCAUCCGCCACACUCAAUCAAGACUUGGACCUCAUAGCAAGCUCCUCGGGCCCCUGGAACAAGAAGUCUCUAGCAUCUCUGCAGAUUUCUUGCCCACAGUGGGUAGCAGCGUGCCCUGAAGCAGACUGCUGAGACAGACAGUGAGGAGCACUUUCCUGGCAGCACUCAGUGUGUGGCAGACAAGCUUGUGGUAUUUGCCACCUGCAGGGACUAUGGGACAUGCUGUCAGAAUCCCCUCAAACUGCUUUCAAGGAAUCCUGGACUGAUGAUCAGCUCAGGACCUCAGUUAUCCCAGGCCUCAUGGGCCAGGGGUUUAUUAGAUCACAACAUACCUAUAACCACUGCAUGGCAUAAAAAUCAGGAAGCCCAGAGAACACAAAUGUCUGGCCCACGUCUGUAAGUGACAGCCCAGGAUUAGAAGGGACACUGGAUUUUGUGGAUGCUCCUUGGACACACUGGAAUGCACCUUGGGCAGCCCGUGGAUCAUUUUCCCCAGUAUGAAGCAUGGGAGGAGCUGGAAAAUGAACUCAUGAGCCAGUUGAGCCAGCACAACAAGCUGGAGCCAGGAUAUGCAGCUGGGAGCGAGUGUCCAGCCAACAGCCCGUGUCUCAGGCCCUGCCAGGGGAUGAAUCAAUUAGCAAGAGAAGCAAUGAUGCAAAUGCUCCGGGGUCACUUGGGAUGCUGUUUGCCUUUUUGAUAGAGAAAGCACACCAUAAAUAACAUCACACCUCAGGAAAUCAUUCCAGGAGGCCCCGAUGCUGGCAGGGCUGCUGCCAGGGACGGAAGGAAUCGUUUGCUCAUUGUGUGUAUUUCCCCCAGCUCAGUCAAUGGGAGAUUUGUAGUAAAAUCAAAGUAUUUAAAAGGAGGACAGUAUGUGGUAACAGAGGCAUGUUUAGCAAUUUUUUUAGUACCAGAACCUGUGAUUUAUGACCCAGAGUUACAGCCAACUUUAUUACAAAAAUGACUUCACCCAUAAUAACCUUAUUCAGGGCCCUCUGAUGAAUGAUGUAGUAUCCAACAGCAUUAUAAUCUAGUAAAUAUUCAAACACAAUUCCCGCCUCCGCCUCAUUUCCAACCAACCCCUCAGAAGCAGGCUUCCCCCUUUACCUGCUGGGAGAAGUGGGGUCCUGGGUAAGGCUUUGUGCUCUGUCUGUGGGAGUUUGCCUGGAUCAGGCAUUUAUACUAAGCCAGGACAGAAAGUGACCUCCUGGGGUCUCAGUCAUAUCUUGUCCAACCUUGUCCCCUGAGGAGUAAUGAGCAGAAGACACCCACUCACCCUUCAUUUCCUCUCUGUGCUGAAACUUAUUUCCUCCCUGCAUUCCCCCACUCCUCCAGAGCUCAGAUCCCCACCACCUGAAAGGAGCUCCAGUAAGCUCCCUGACAUUUUUAAUUGCCAUGGUAACUGAGGGCUGCACUAAAACCGCCAGGGCUGGGUGUCCAAGCAGGGUCCCCUGGGCGUACCGGGAUCUAGAAACUAGCCCUCCAUCUUAUUAAACUCCGGUGUCAGUUCCUAGCAAUUGUUUUAAAUUUACACCCUCAGAGUGGCUUAGUGGGAUUACAUGUCCAUUUGCAUUAAAACAGUUUUCUGUCAUUAAACUGCCAUACAAUAAGCUUCCUUGGGACAAAUUAAUGAGCUCUAAAUAUCAUCAAGUAGAAGUUCACUUCAAGACAGGCAACAAGGAGGGGGGUCGGAAGGAAGUGGCUGCUCAGAAUCUCAUGGCCCAGGAGAACGAUAAGUGCCAACUAAAGAAGGGUCUUGUCCUGUUUCUUCACUGCACGAUAAGUGGUCCUGAUUUAGAGCUGAAUGGGGAGAUUUGGCAAUAUUCUCCCUGUUCGCCAAAAUCCUAUAGCUCAUCUUCUAUUCCUUCUUCCAAAUAUGACUUUACCCUUGACUUUGCUGAAAUUUGCUGAUGAAACACUGACCUCUUGUCUCAGUGACAAUGUCUCAGCCUCAUUUUCUUUGUCCUGUAGUUUCUCUGUCCUUGAGGAACUUGCGUGCAUCCACGUGGCCUGGGAACAACACGCACACAACGCAGCACUAUGUGUAGCUUGAACAAGUGCUCCCUAACUUUGUUAGUUCCCACACACUUUGCUAAAAUGCAUGUAUGAUUGCUACUGAACUGUCUGGGUCCUCAGACCUUAUCGGGACCCUGGAACACGAGUCCUGAUCAGGAGCACCUUUCAUGGUCAUCAGGAGCAGAAUAGGAACAGGGAACAGUUUAGCUUCUAAGACUGAAUUUGUCCUGCUCACAAGAAUCACCAGAGCUUGUCCUCACAAAUACAUAUGUGUGUCUAAGUAGAAAUUUUUCAUUAACACCAAAUAAACCCCCAAACCUUCCCUUAUGUAAAGGAAAUAAGACUGGCUGCUAGACAGACUUCUUGAUCCACAGAGGCUGUGAUCUCAUUUCUGUGUAGCCUUAACAGGGGACAGUAAUGUAUGAUUGAGACACUGCUAUAUUUAGGAAUGACAAGAUGAACAUUAUUAAUAGCUUAAUUGACAUUAAGGCAAUUACCCCUACCCUUAUUACAGUUUGUAGAAUUACACAGAAAAUAUUGGCUGGGGCCUUUUUUUCCCUAGAGCUACCCAAGGAUACAGCAUUUUAUUUCAUGCCAGAUCCCAGCUUUGACAUUAGAUACUUAGCCAUAGAAUGAUUCCAGUAAAUCAUUAUAAAUGCAUUAUAAUAAAGAUGUUAUGAGCUAUCAGAUAUUAACCCCCAACCCCUAAAGAGAGAUAAAUAGUCCAGUUGCAUGAUUCCCACUUUUGUUUCAUAAGAAAUAAGCUUUUGCAAAGAGCAACUGACUAAUGAAUUAUAAAAUGGUGUGUUGAGCUCAGAUAAUUAAACAAUGCAUUUUAGUGUCUAGUGCAGGAUGAACACUAAAUCAUACACAAAUAAAAAAGGUAAAAAUCUGAGCCCCAUGCCUAACUCCUAUUUUUGAAUAACAUUAAUGUUGGUCUACAGUCCAAAAAUGCUUCAACUAUUUUCUUAUCUGAUUAGAGAGGCAUAUCAAGUAUAAGAUCAAGGCACAGUAGGCAAACUAAACCAACAGUCAGAACAAAAACUGUGAAGGUGCUAAUUUCAGAUAAGCCCACAAGGUUAUUUUAAUGGAGAUUUUACAUGGAGAUUGCUUUUUCCCCCAAAGUGUUAAUGGGACAAAAGUCUAGAAGGACCUGGAAGUUUUCAGGUUUCCUUAUACUUUAUAUUUUCUCUGAACUCAUAAUAAAGCAUAUUAGUGGGAAUGGGAUCUAUGCUAUUGGUGGUGGUCUUAGCCUUAUAGUGUUGGAAAGAUGAAUACACAUCCUAAAAUCUUCUCUAGGUUGUGGAGGUGCAGGGAUGAGGAGGGGUUGGUUUGGGUUUCAACCAUUAUCCUCCCCAGGUGGUGGUAUCCUGCCCAGCAGGGCUUCAUCUAGUGGUCAACCAUGGAACACCAUGACAUUUUCACCAGUGGCCCUCAGACAGGGCUGGUUUGCCAUUGGCUGCCAUUUCCUGGCAUGUCGUAGAUUUGCUGCGUGAUUUGAAGCUGUGCUUCAGCACAUCCUGAAUGUGUUUUUUAGUCUUUCAGUAUCUCAAAGACAUGGUGUCCGCCUCAAGGUAGUCUCCUAUUUCUUCGUCAAAUAGCACAUCAUUAAGGACUGUGUGGCCAAAAUUACAGAUGGUCUUGGACUCUGUAUGGGCAAUGACCACCUGUGCUGGUAAUCGAGGCUUCCCUGGAACACCUGGGAACAUACCACACAGCCAGUCCUCUCCUGUGCUCCAGUCAAGCUUAACCUCACAGCCCGAUACUCCCUCCACUUCCCUAGCUCCAUGUGUUAGCCACUGCAGGUUAAUUGAUCUAAGGCUUAUUUUCUUCAAAUAUAAAAUGAAGAUAAUAAUGCCUACCCAGAGGGUCAUGUGAACAUUAAAUGAGAUCAAUUAUGUAAAGAUCUAUCUAUGCAGUGCCUUUCACAGAGUAUGCCCACAAAUAAAUGUUACCUGUUUCAUUUUAGUUAUCUAUGUUUAGCUAUCUUUGUGUUUUUUCUAUCCUGCUUCUUCUCGCUCCACUAUACUCUUACAUCCUAAUUCUCUCUCUCUCUCAUACACACAUACUUUGCUGUGUCUAGCACAGUGCUUUGCUUGUGGCUCACACUCUACAUGCUUGUUACCCUGAACUAUUAACAAAAGCAGCUGCUAGUAACAGUUAAUGUUUUCUGACCACCUACAUGAGCCAGGCACUAUGCUAAGUAUCAUCACUUCCUUUAAUUCUCACAAGCUUAUGAGACAAAUACUAUUUUAAUUCUCAUCUAUCGGAAAUUAAAGAUUAAAGAUGUUCUAUAACUUGCCCAAGGUCACACAAGCUCUUAAGUGGAUAGUCAAGAUCCAAACUCAGAACCGGCCUGGAUUUGAAAUCUCAGUUCUUAACUAUCACUGUGUCAGACUGAUUUUGUUAGCUUUUUCCUCCUUUAGACUGGGCCCUAUCAAGGGAUCAGAGAUAAGCAUGUACCCACUCUCAGAUGAGUGAUCCCACGACCUCAAGUUUUGAAGUUCCAGGAAGUCCAGAAGUGUAUGCUAACUCUAGUUUAUAGCUGUUCAAAAGUCACUUGUCUAAAAACUUCAGGGACAUUAUGUAAAACCAUCCAAAAAACAUUAUUGCACACCCCAUAAAGUUAAUUUCACUUUGCAAGAAUGUGUUUGAGGGAGGUGAUGCACUUGGCUAUGUAUUCAGGUUGGUGGCCACAAUAUAUGGAGCUGUGCUGUCAUCCUUGACACUCUGGCUUACUGGCAGCCUCGCUCCAACACACUGUCACAGGCGAGGGAUGGCCUCCCAGUCUUGACUCAGAACACUUAAGCUUCCUAAUGGUCCAAGUCUCACAAACCACACACCUCCCUUAAUUAAAAAAGUAAAUUAAAAGGAGUAUUUCAACUUAGGGAUGAAUUAUCUUAGUAAUUUAAGAUUGACAUUUUAUUGGAUAAAAGGACAUGUAUGAGUUUAUUUUAAAAUACUGCCUUCAUGAACAAGAGACCACAGAAAAGAUUAUCCUGAGGUUGCAAGGCGUUUGUAGAGCCAGAGGACACCCUUGCAAAACAGCCACUGUGAGAGGCCAGUUGCUGCAAAUCACAGGUCAGCCACUUCUACACUUGUCCUUCAAGCACAUCAGCCGGACAUUUGGAGUUUUCUAUAGUCUUCAUUUCAAACUCGAUCAUCCUGAGUGUUGUGGUGGACACUACUAGUGUCACAAAGAGUCCAGCACCCUCUCCUUCCAGGUAUAUAAACGGUGCAUUGCUGGGCUCCUUUGCAGUUGGAUAGGUCAGGUAAUUUGUCUGUUGUGAAGAGUUACUAUGUUUCACUUCUAAGCCGAAGCAUUUGAUUGUCAAUGGAAUACCCUCCAGCUCUCUCCUUCCCUGCAGAAGUAAUCUUGGAAGCAUGUGUUGAGAUGACAGAGUUCCCAAUAGCCUAGAUUCCUGAAUGACUUAGUGGAGCUGAGUCCUCCACAGGUCCAUGUUGGACAUGCACAAUCAGUGAGAAUAAACUUUUGUUGGAUUAAGUCACCGAUGUUUGGAGACUGUUCAUUACCACAACAAAAUGUAGCCAAAUCCCGACUAAUCCAGGAAUUAACCUUUUGUUCAGAAAAUACAGCCCUUCUAAGUCAUAAACCCAUAUUCUCUUUCCAAUAGCUUAUUAAAUGGUUUAUGUAUUUUCCAUCUUUUUGAUAUACUCUCAGAUGCCUAAAAUUACCACAGUGACCUUGGAUUGGACAAGGUAGUUGUUUGUCUUUUAGCCAUUAAUAAAUAUUGCUACUGUGGAAUGAGUGAGGGAAACAGAAGAAGACAAGGUUGGCCUUUUGAAAAUAAUAUGGCAUCAUGUAACGAUGAAAAAGAGAAAAAAUACAGAAAAAAGAGAAAACAAGAGAAAAAUGAAAAACAAGUCUAUAAGAGAGAAAAGUAGAGAAAAACAAAACAAUAGAAAUGCUGGGCAAUUUGUUUCAGAUUCACUAUAACCAACUGCUUGUUGUUGGGUUCUGCUCUAGAAGGCAUCUCUCAGGAUGCCUUUGACCCUCAGCACCUUUUUGUGUAUGUGCCUAGCAUACUGAGGUGCUCAAUAAAUGUUGAUUGAAAGGGUAAAUAAAGGAAUAAAUUUCCAUUUUAUAAUCUUGGAAGCAUAUAUUACUUUAAACGGCCUAUGACUAUGAAUGGACAUUCCAUUGCACAUUGAAAGGCAGUACAACAAGUGAGAAGGGAAGUAGAAAUAUAUGAGUUUGAAUAGCUCUUCAUAACCUUUAAACCUGAGUCCUUGCAAAGAGCAACUAUGAGGUCAGAGCAAUAAUUCUUUGUCCUAAAAACAGGACACCACUGAUAACUCAGAGCCGUCUGUUGAAGAAAGUGUUUCAAAUAAACUGGUUAGCAAUGCCCUUGUUUUGUUUGCCUCUGGAUGGGAAGAACUAGGAGUGCAAUCAGCACCGAGGUGUCUAUAGUCUUGAUGUGGUGGGAGAUGAAAGUAGGGGAACUGAAUAAUGUAUUUUUUCAAAACCUUGAAUGGAGCGAGAAAUACUGAUAAAAAGGAAGAGUUGUGAGUCAUUCUUCUGCUGAUGCCAACUGGGAAGCUCCAGUAGUAUAUUCCCCUGGUGAUGAAGUAAUUCACUUUUUCUGAGAUUAACAUUCUGUAGUAAGGCUGUUCCUCAUACAAGGUUGCUCACAGGUAAAGUUAAUAAAAGGCAGAGUCUAAGAAUUCAUAAGGAAGUUUGCCUUUCCAUGGGGAGAAAGCAUGCAAUCAGGGUCUCUAGUCUGUGUGCACACGUGUGUGUGCGCGUGUGUGUGUGCGCGCGCGCACUCAUAUGCACAGCUCAGAUGUCCAGGACUUGAGAUGAGAAUGGAAAGCACCGAAUAAGAAGAAAGCUGCCACACAGUAGGCUGAAGGAGAAUGACUACAACCUUUAGGCUGAAAAAAAAAAAACACUACAUGCUGGCGUGUAUCCUUGUGGAUAUGUGGAAACACAACAAAAAUAUUGGUCCAUCCUGGCUGCAGUUUUAAAGGAAAGGAAGAUCUCCUGGCAUCAACAUCUCUUGGAGAUGAACACACUAUACAUGCAAGUUCAAAUCUAUCAUCUUCCACCAGUCAACCCAAGCUACAUUCCCCUUCCAUUUAUUAUCAAAGGAAUAAGCACUUUUGUUUCCCAGGCUUAACUCCUCAAAAUCAUGAGCUUUUCUUCCCUACCUUUCCCUUCAUUCGAACUCUUUCCUUUCAAAAUGUUUAUAGAAUUCAUUCUUAUCCUCUCCCUGCCUGGGGGGUUUAUCUAGCUAGUCUAAAUUCUAGAUCAUUGCCUUUCUAUAGGAAAUAUAAAACACACAAAUAAUGAAAUACCCAUAAUCCAAGGCAGAAAUCAUGAGUGUUAUAGUAACAAUGGCCUCAAGAGCUAGACUGCCCAGGCAGCUCAUAUU
This 9189-nucleotide long non-coding RNA is filed under the name Homo sapiens (human). RNAcentral's name for it is "HSALNT0043665". Lineage: Eukaryota; Metazoa; Chordata; Mammalia; Primates; Hominidae. The record is from RNAcentral.